AAGUCCUGGUGAAUUAUCACAUACUCCUAAUGUGCUGAGAAAUACCACUUUCAGGACACUGAGAUAUAAAACCACUUAAAGGCGUUGAAGAAGGAAGGAUUCAUGAAUUCUAUAACUGUAAGAGAAUGAGUUCUGCCAAAAAUCUAAGGGAGCUUGAAAGCAUAUCUUUCCUUAGUUCAGCCUCUGCAUGAGAACCCAGCUUUGCCUGACACCUUGAUUGCAGCCUUGAUAAGACCGUAAGAAAGACCGUAAGAAAACCCAAGCAGAUGUGCCUAUAGACUCCUCACCCACAACUGCGAUAUCACAGAUGUGUCCAGACUUCUUACCCACAACUGCGAUAUCACAGAUGUGUCGAGACUCCCUACCCACAACUGCAAUAUCA
This 382-nucleotide long non-coding RNA is filed under the name Homo sapiens (human). RNAcentral describes it as "HSALNT0092022". The record is from RNAcentral. Lineage: Eukaryota; Metazoa; Chordata; Mammalia; Primates; Hominidae.